Molecule: transfer RNA, 69 nt
Filed under: Paraconger notialis (Guinean conger)
Lineage: Eukaryota; Metazoa; Chordata; Actinopteri; Anguilliformes; Congridae
Description: tRNA-His
Rfam family: tRNA
About the family: Transfer RNA (tRNA) molecules are approximately 80 nucleotides in length. Their secondary structure includes four short double-helical elements and three loops (D, anti-codon, and T loops).
Source: RNAcentral
GUAGAUAUAGUUUAGACAAAACGUUAGAUUGUGAUUCUAAAAAUAGGAGAUAAAACCCCCUUAUCCACC